Long non-coding RNA from Sapajus apella (tufted capuchin), 2500 nucleotides. RefSeq lists it as uncharacterized. The transcript is spliced from 3 exons. The record is from RefSeq and is a predicted model, not a curated record. NCBI's taxonomy places the organism in Eukaryota, Metazoa, Chordata, Mammalia, Primates, Cebidae.
AUAUAAAUUUGACAGAAGGAAUAUGCAUGUGAAUUCUAGAAAUUUAUUUCUUGCCAUUUUUUAUAUUAGGUUAAGUGAUUUAAUUUGAAUACAUUCAGUUUGUACACAUCUGGCAUCAGUCUGAAUUUUGUUUACAUAUAUCUGCUGUUAUUUUAGGUCAUAAACUCUGUCGCACACAUGUCUUAUGUGAAAGUCACACAUGUACAAUCCUCUCAAAUGCAGUGCAUCCAAACUUGUAAAAUUUUGCGAACUCCUCUAUAUAAUCAAUUUCAUGAAACAUUGAUAGAUUCUUUGUUUCUCAUGACUUCUGGCAAUAUUUGAAAUACAAGAAAUCCAUGUAUUUUCCAGUACUCCAUCCUCACUGUCAAAACUGUCGAGAAUGCAAAAGCUCUGAGAUUGUACCCUACCUGCAAGGCAACAAGUUAACCUGGCAUAGUUUCAUGUCUGCUGGUAGAAGCUAUGAGGCUCCUGAGUCACAGAUAUUUGUAGAAACCAGGAGCUGAAACAAAGCAAUGGUUCAGGCAACCACAGAGAUUUGCAUGGAUGAUCACAUAAACUAGGCUGAAGCUAUCUGGUAUGUCAUACUGUUUCAAUAUAAUGUUCUCAGAAUUUAGGGAGAAUCUAAAACAAAAAAGAGCUGUGGUUUUAUUUUGUAAUCAUAGAGGUAGUACAUGAGACAACUGUAAACCACUUAGAGUAGUUAUUAGAAAAUAGUAUUACAGUGCCUUUAUUGUAUUUCCUAUAUUUAUUUAUGACUUUUCAGUAUUCUAAUUUUCCUUGAGCUUCUGAAUUAUUAGAUCCUCUAUGUUAUUAUGUCUAUAGAUUGAAUUAUCAAGUAAUAAAAAGUGUAAAACAUUUCUGAUUUCAUACAAACCUUGAUUUUCAAGUUUCCAAUCAAGAAAAGAAAAAAAUGAAAAAGAAAACUUUUAUGUUGUUUAUAAUGUUUUUUUUUUUACUCCUUCAAAGCAGAAGGAGGGCUUAUAAAUUCUAGAGGGAACUAUUUUUUAUACCUCAGGGAAAAAGUCUGUUAUUGACUUAGUCUGGCUAAACCUCAGGGGUUAAUGUUGGCAUUUCUAUCUUAACUGUUCCACUCUAUUAAUUUCCUAUCAAUAAAAAUUAUCACAAAUUUAGUAGCUUAAAACAACGCAAAUUUAUUCUCUUACAGUUCUAGGGGCAAAAAGUCUAAAACAGGUAUAACUGUGCUAAAAUGAAGGUGUUGUCUGGCCUCCAUUCUUUCUAGAGGCUCUAGGGAAGAAUUUGUUUCCUUGCCUUUUCAAGCCUCCUAGAGGCUGCCUAUGUACCUUGGCUUGUGCAUCCUUGCUAUAUAUAUCUACAGUCAGCUGUGUAGUGUCUUCAAAUCUCUCUCUGACUUCUGCUUCUGUCCUUAUGUCUCAUUCUUUGACUGAUCUCUUAACUCCCUCCUAUAAGGACCCUUUAUGACUAUAUUGGACCAAUGGAUAAUCCAGGGUAAUCUUCCAUCUCAGAAUCCCUUACUUACUCACAUAUGCAAAGUUUCUUUUGCCAUUUAAGGUAACAUAUUUACAGGUUCUGAGUAUUAGGACAUAGACAUCUUUGGUGGACCAUUAUUCUGCCUAUCAUACCCAUAAAACCUGAAACCCUUCUGCUUGUGAAAUGGACUCUCAUGGAGUGGAUUAAUUGACUAUCUCUGGAAUUUUAAAACUCAGACUUACGGAGUAUAUGUAUGCAAAUCGUAGUCAGAUUUAAUGGGUGUACCUGAUUUAAUAGAGAACUGCUCUUGACGUGAAAACCGCCUGAUGGAUGAGAGUUGUCAGAGGAUAUAGAGGCCCACAACCCAUUAUCUGUAACUUAGAACCAGCUAGGUUUCAGAUUUUUAAAAGGUAACGUGGUUCAGAACUAUAUAUUACAUAAUGUUACCAGUGGGCUCUGUAGCUAGGUUAAUGACUAUUUUUGCAGUAAAGCAUGAAUAUUCAUAUUUCUUAUUAAGACAAAGAGCACCAUAAAUAGCCUUGUAUCAGUUCAUGUCAGGUUUUUGCCACUUCUUGACUUGCAAAAAGUCUGCAAUUUUUAGAACUCUUUUGAUUUUGUGAUUUUGCACGAUAUCAUUGUGUAGGGAAGACCAAGAGCCAGAAAACAUACAAUGCACACAUGCACAUGUGCAGAUACCCCUGCAAACAACUUUAAUAUCCUUGUAUGUUCAGUCAAGGUUGGGCUGAAAUUUGUGCAUGAAAAUGAUCUAGAAAAAAUGCAGGGUCAUACAUAACAAGAACUUUACUCAGUGUUCUAUCAUAAAUUUCUCACUUGAACAUAAGGAGCUGUUUUUGUAUAGGUAAACAACUACAGAUGAUUGAACUACUAGCAAUUUUUCAUGGUACAGAUCCCUUAGUUUUUUCAACAUUUACCUGGUAGGAACACUACAUGAAGGAAAAGAGACUUUUGUCUAGACUCAUGGAAACUAGCUUUUCUAAAUGUUGUUAGAGCUCUCGGAGAGCUAAGGGAGAUCCAUCAGUAUGAUUUUUUU